This 73-nucleotide transfer RNA is filed under the name Opitutales bacterium. RNAcentral describes it as "tRNA-Thr". It matches the Rfam family "tRNA". Rfam says of the family: Transfer RNA (tRNA) molecules are approximately 80 nucleotides in length. Their secondary structure includes four short double-helical elements and three loops (D, anti-codon, and T loops). The record is from RNAcentral. RNAcentral also lists the same sequence under 1 other name. Lineage: Bacteria; Pseudomonadati; Verrucomicrobiota; Opitutia; Opitutales.
GCCGACUUAGCUCAGUUGGUAGAGCACCCGCCUUGUAAGCGGACGGUCGUCAGUUCAAGUCUGACAGUCGGCU